ACCAGGAGAGCAAGCGUCGGGCCAUGCUGGCCGCGGUAUUGGAGCAGGAACUGCCAGCGCUGGCGGAGAAUCUGCACCAGGAGCAGGAGCAAGAGCAGGGGGCCCGUCUGGGCAGAAACCAUGUGGAAGAGCUGCUGCGCUGCCUCGGGGCACACAUCCACACUCCCAACCGCCGGCAGCUGGCCCAGGAGCUGCGGGCGCUGCAAGGACGGCUGAGGGCCCAGGGCCUUGGGCCUGCGCUUCUGCACAGACCGCUGUUUGCCUUCCCGGAUGCGGUGAGGGCGCCUUCUGGUAGUUAGAGCUGCCCAACAACAGGUAGUGAGCUCCCCGUGCCUGGUGAGGUGCCAGGACUUGACGUUCCAAGAUUCCCUGUCUCCUCCGUGAAGAUCAGGCCUGCAGCAAAAAACCGUCUGCCCAGUCCUAGCUUCCCAGGCCUUCCCUGGACCUCAAGCCCGCCCACCCCACUCGCCUCUCGCCGAAGACUUUCUAGGCCUUUCCAGCUCAAGCCCUGCCU
Molecule: small RNA, 514 nt
Filed under: Pongo abelii (Sumatran orangutan)
Lineage: Eukaryota; Metazoa; Chordata; Mammalia; Primates; Hominidae
Description: retained intron
Source: RNAcentral